UACGGGGGGGGCAAGCGUUGUUCGGAAUUACUGGGCGUAAAGGGCUCGUAGGUGGCCAACUAAGUCAGACGUGAAAUCCCUCGGCUUAACCGGGGAACUGCGUCUGAUACUGGAUGGCUUGAGUUCGGGAGAGGGAUGCGGAAUUCCAGGUGUAGCGGUGAAAUGCGUAGAUAUCUGGAGGAACACCGGUGGCGAAGGCGGCAUCCUGGACCAAUAUUGACGCUGAGGAGCGAAAGCUAGGGGAGCAAACGGG
RNAcentral lists this ribosomal RNA (253 nucleotides) under uncultured bacterium. Its description in RNAcentral is "partial 16S ribosomal RNA". It matches the Rfam family "Bacterial small subunit ribosomal RNA", at positions 524 to 776 of the family's 1533-position model. The record is from RNAcentral.